This 227-nucleotide ribosomal RNA is filed under the name uncultured bacterium. RNAcentral's name for it is "partial 16S ribosomal RNA". It matches the Rfam family "Bacterial small subunit ribosomal RNA", at positions 113 to 334 of the family's 1533-position model. The record is from RNAcentral.
CAACGUGGGUAACCUGCCCUGAUGAUUGGGACAACCCGAGGAAACUCGGGCUAAUACCAAAUGUGACCUCCGGCCAUAAGGCUGUUGGGGAAAGGAAGCUUCGGCCUCCGCAUCAGGAUGGGCCCGCGGCCCAUUAGCUUGUUGGUGAGGUAAUGGCUCACCAAGGCAACGAUGGGUAGCUGGUCUGAGAGGACGAUCAGCCACACUGGGACUGAGACACGGCCCAG